RNAcentral lists this non-coding RNA (28 nucleotides) under Mus musculus (house mouse). Lineage: Eukaryota; Metazoa; Chordata; Mammalia; Rodentia; Muridae. The record is from RNAcentral.
UGAUGCUAGUGAUGCGUGUGAAGUACGC